Molecule: long non-coding RNA, 664 nt
Organism: Schistocerca piceifrons (Central American locust)
Lineage: Eukaryota; Metazoa; Arthropoda; Insecta; Orthoptera; Acrididae
Exons: 2
Source: RefSeq, a predicted model, not a curated record
UGUGCCUACGGUCUGAGAAAUGUGUUGUGAACAGAAUUAGUAGUAAAAAAGUAUUAAAUUAAAACGACAUGCAAGCUGCGGUAGUUUCCCACGCAUCUCAUUCUGUUCGUCUUCAUAUGUCCUGAACUAUUUUUGUAGGCUGCAUCAGACAACAAAAAGCUGGCAAGGUGUAAGCAAGGGGCCGGUGAAUAGCGGCUAAUUCGGCGAGCGGGGGCUGGCGUGACCUCUGGCGGGUGAUGCGCCAUCGAUCUGCGGCCGCCGCCGCGCUCGGAACGCCCAGCACUCGCCGGCUCCGCUUCAAAACACUGGCGCCGAAAACAACAACAGCGUCACAGGAGCCCCACUGGAGCGGGGAAAUGUCUCGCUCAUGUGGCUGAGUGGCGAUGCAGUCAAAUGAGGCAAGCUGACACAGACUCGUGUGACAUUAUAGCGGUCAUCACUGUAAGCUACUGGUAUGGCAUACAGUUGGUUGGUUUACACAGAUGUUGAAGCCGCGCUCUACUGCAGUUGCCAUUUCUUUUAUAUCUCUAGAAAAAAGGUUCAUUAUCGAAUUUACGAACGUGUUUGCACUAUUUGCUUCAGUAUUCUUGCAGCUCGUACAAAUCAAGUUCUACAAUUUACUAUGAACGCCCAAAAUUCUUUAAUAAACCCUUUCAUAAACCAC